CCUACGGGUGGCAGCAGUGAGGAAUAUUGGUCAAUGGGCGCGAGCAUGAACCAGCCAAGUAGCGUGAAGGAUGACUGCCCUACGGGUUGUAAACUUCUUUUAUAAAGGAAUUAAGUGAGGCACGUGUGACUUUUUGUAUGUACUUUAUGAAUAAGGAUAGGCUAACUCAGUGCCAGCAGCCGCGGUAAUACGGAGGAUCCGAGCGUUAUCCGGAUUUAUUGGGUUUGAAGGGAACGUAUAUGGGUUGUUAUGUCAGUUGUGAAAGUUUGCGGCUCAAACGUAAAAUUGCAAUUGAUACUGGCAGCCUUGAGUACAGUAGAGGUAGGCGGAAUUCGUGGUGUAGCGGUGAAAUGCUUAGAUAUCACGAAGAACUCCGAUUGCGAAGGCAGCCUACUAAACUGCCACUGACAUUGAUGCUCGAAAGUGUGGGUAUCAAACAGGAUUAGAUACCCGAGUAGUC
This 460-nucleotide ribosomal RNA is filed under the name uncultured bacterium. Its description in RNAcentral is "partial 16S ribosomal RNA". It matches the Rfam family "Bacterial small subunit ribosomal RNA", at positions 338 to 795 of the family's 1533-position model. The record is from RNAcentral.